GAUGAACGCUAGCUACAGGCUUAACACAUGCCAAGUCGCGGGGUCUGUUUCGGCAGACGACCGGCGCACGGGUGAGUAACGCGUAUCCAACCUGCCCCUCUCUUGGCAUAGCCUUUCGAAAGAGAGAUUAAUUCCGAAUAACGUAGUAACGUUGCCUGAUGAUACUACGAAAGCUCCGGCGGAGAGGGAUGGGGAUGCGUUCCAUUAGGUAGUAGGCGGGGUAACGGCCACCUAGCCAACGAUGGAUAGGGGGUUCUGAGAGGAAGGUCCCCCACAUUGGAACUGAGACACGGUCCAAACUCCUACGGGAGGCAGCAGUGGGGAAUAUUGGGCAAUGGGCGAAAGCCUGACCCAGCGACGCCGCGUGAAGGAAGAAGGUCUUCGGAUUGUAAACUUUUGUCAGCAGGGAAGAAGAAAGUGACAGUACCUGCAGAGGAAGCCACGGCUAACUACGUG
RNAcentral lists this ribosomal RNA (456 nucleotides) under uncultured bacterium. RNAcentral's name for it is "bacterial SSU rRNA". It matches the Rfam family "Bacterial small subunit ribosomal RNA", at positions 28 to 507 of the family's 1533-position model. The record is from RNAcentral.